Molecule: ribosomal RNA, 780 nt
Filed under: Triticum aestivum (bread wheat)
Lineage: Eukaryota; Viridiplantae; Streptophyta; Magnoliopsida; Poales; Poaceae
Description: partial small subunit ribosomal RNA
Source: RNAcentral
CUUUGCCUUGAGGAACCCGACGAGAUCACUAAGCGCAGCGUCGGCUCCGUCGUUCCUCAUCAGAACCUCGGCAACCUCUGCCGGUGUGAUCGGCACCUCCUCCAUCAGCUUCUCGAUCUCCGGAUAUAUGGUGUGGUCAUCUUCGACGAAGUGGUAGUUCCUGGCCAGGAUCCUGAAGGACUCCGAGGUGCAAUAUCCCAUGUGGAUGUGCAUGUCCAUCCUACCAGGCCGCAGCAGUGCCGGGUCGAGCCGCUCCUUGUAGUUGGUGGUGAAGACGAUGAUCCUCUCCUCCCCGCUCGUCGACCACAGCCCGUCGACGAAGUUGAGCAGCCCGGACAACUAAUUGAGACAAACCUUGUCCUCGUUGUCUUCUCCUCCGAUGAAGCUGUGCCUGGCACGCCUCUCGCCGCCUUCGUGGCCGCGCUGUGGCAGAUCGACGCUGCAGUCGAUGUCCUCGACGACGAGGAUGGAGCGGUUGCUCAUGCCGACGAGCAGCCUGCGGAGGUCCGAGUUGGACUUGACCUCGGUCAGCUCGAGGUCGUAGAUGUCGAACUUGAGGUAGUUGGCCAUGGCGGCUACGAGGCUAGACUUGCCGGUGCCCGGCGGGCCAUAGAGCAGGUACCCGCGCUUCCACGCCCUGCCGGUCCUGCGGUAGUAGUCCUUCCUCCCGACGAACCGCUCGAGGUCGUCCAUGACGGACCGCUUGAGGUCGCCGUCCAUGGCGAUCGUGUCGAAGGUGGAGGGGUGGCGGAGGUCCACGGGGGUCCACGCGUCGUACUC